Long non-coding RNA from Oncorhynchus keta (chum salmon), 279 nucleotides. RefSeq lists it as uncharacterized. The record is from RefSeq and is a predicted model, not a curated record. Lineage: Eukaryota; Metazoa; Chordata; Actinopteri; Salmoniformes; Salmonidae. The transcript is spliced from 3 exons.
CAGGUUUGUAGGCCUCCUGACAGAGCUGGUGUAACUGAGUCAGGUUUGUAGGCCUCCUGACAGAGCUGGUGUAACUGAGGCAGGUUUGUAGGCCUCCUGACAGAGCUGGUGUAACUGAGUCAGGUUUGUAGGCCUCCUGACAGAGCUGGUGUAACUGAGGCAGGUUUGUAGGCCUCCUGACAGAGCUGGUGUAACUGAGUCAGGUUUGUAGGCCUCCUGACAGAGCUGGUGUAACUGAGUCAGGUUUGUAGGCCUCCUGACAGAGCUGGUGUAACUGAG